RNAcentral lists this long non-coding RNA (219 nucleotides) under Mytilus galloprovincialis (Mediterranean mussel). Lineage: Eukaryota; Metazoa; Mollusca; Bivalvia; Mytilida; Mytilidae. The record is from RNAcentral.
UUGAAUUUAUUUAUUGGACUUAUGAUAAGUAAUUGUACCCCGCCUUCCCGUUGUUCUUUUUCAACGACAACGCAUGCUACCUCGUAUUUCUUGUUUGCAAAUUAUUCUCUACAUAACUUUCCGUUUUAAAUAUGCAUGCAUAAAGUAUUUGUCACUGGAUGGUCAGAAAACAACAAUCAAUCAAUCAUAUCUCCUCCUAAAUAACAGUACUAUAAUGAC